RNAcentral lists this transfer RNA (58 nucleotides) under Cricetulus griseus (Chinese hamster). It matches the Rfam family "tRNA", at positions 8 to 63 of the family's 71-position model. Rfam says of the family: Transfer RNA (tRNA) molecules are approximately 80 nucleotides in length. Their secondary structure includes four short double-helical elements and three loops (D, anti-codon, and T loops). Further hydrogen bonds mediate the characteristic L-shaped molecular structure. tRNAs have two regions of fundamental functional importance: the anti-codon, which is responsible for specific mRNA codon recognition, and the 3' end, to which the tRNAs corresponding amino acid is attached (by aminoacyl-tRNA synthetases). tRNAs cope with the degeneracy of the genetic code in two manners: having more than one tRNA (with a specific anti-codon) for a particular amino acid; and 'wobble' base-pairing, i.e. permitting non-standard base-pairing at the 3rd anti-codon position. The record is from Rfam by way of RNAcentral. Lineage: Eukaryota; Metazoa; Chordata; Mammalia; Rodentia; Cricetidae.
UGGCUCAGCGGUUAAGAGCACUGGUUGCUCUUCCAGAAGUUCUGGGUUCAAUUCCCAG